Molecule: ribosomal RNA, 253 nt
Filed under: uncultured bacterium
Lineage: Bacteria
Description: partial 16S ribosomal RNA
Rfam family: Bacterial small subunit ribosomal RNA
Source: RNAcentral
UACGUAGGGGGCAAGCGUUGUCCGGAAUUAUUGGGCGCAAAGAGCGCGUAGGCGGUCCGAUAAGUCGGCUGUGAAAGUCAGGGGCUCAACCCUUGAAAGCCGGCCGAUACUGUCGGACUAGAGUCCGGAAGAGGCAAGUGGAAUUCCCGGUGUAGCGGUGAAAUGCGCAGAUAUCGGGAGGAACACCAAUGGCGAAGGCAGCUUGCUGGGACGGUACUGACGCUGAGGCGCGAAAGCGUGGGGAGCAAACAGG